UACGGAGGGGGCUAGCGUUGUUCGGAAUUACUGGGCGUAAAGGGCACGUAGGCUGGCUGUUAAGUCGGUGGUGAAAUGCUGAGGCUCAACCUCAGAAUUGCCUUCGAUACUGACGGUCUUGAGUGCGGGAGAGGUGAGUGGAAUUCCCAGUGUAGAGGUGAAAUUCGUAGAUAUUGGGAAGAACACCAGUGGCGAAGGCGGCUCACUGGCCCGCAACUGACGCUGAGGUGCGAAAGCGUGGGGAGCAGACAGG
RNAcentral lists this ribosomal RNA (253 nucleotides) under uncultured bacterium. RNAcentral describes it as "partial 16S ribosomal RNA". It matches the Rfam family "Bacterial small subunit ribosomal RNA", at positions 524 to 776 of the family's 1533-position model. The record is from RNAcentral.